CAUAAAGUCAUUGUAGAUUCGAUAGGGAAGAUAAGAAAAUCUGAAUCCGCUGAUAAUUUAUUGGCCGAUAAACAUAAUUUGAAGCCCAAUAUUAUGUAGUCGUGAAGCCCAUGAAGAACACAAACGAAA
This is a long non-coding RNA of Brassica oleracea var. oleracea, 129 nucleotides long. RefSeq lists it as uncharacterized. The record is from RefSeq and is a predicted model, not a curated record. The transcript has 2 exons. Lineage: Eukaryota; Viridiplantae; Streptophyta; Magnoliopsida; Brassicales; Brassicaceae.